GGCUCAGUAGCUCAGCUGGUUAGAGCAGGGGCUUCAUACGUCCAAGGUCGCAGGUUCAAGUCCCGCCUGAGCUA
This 74-nucleotide transfer RNA is filed under the name Callithamnion tetricum. RNAcentral describes it as "tRNA-Met". It matches the Rfam family "tRNA". Rfam says of the family: Transfer RNA (tRNA) molecules are approximately 80 nucleotides in length. Their secondary structure includes four short double-helical elements and three loops (D, anti-codon, and T loops). Lineage: Eukaryota; Rhodophyta; Florideophyceae; Ceramiales; Callithamniaceae. The record is from RNAcentral.